CGUGUAGGCGGCUUCGCAAGUCAGAGGUGAAAUGUCCCGGCUCAACCGGGGACCUGCCUUCGAAACUGCGGAGCUUGAGGCCGUGAGAGGAGACUGGAAUUCCCAGUGUAGCGGUGAAAUGCAUAGAUAUUGGGAAGAACACCAGUGGCGAAGGCGAGUCUCUGGCACGGUUCUGACGCUGAGGCGCGAAAGCUAGGGGAGCGAACG
This 207-nucleotide ribosomal RNA is filed under the name uncultured bacterium. RNAcentral's name for it is "partial 16S ribosomal RNA". It matches the Rfam family "Bacterial small subunit ribosomal RNA", at positions 568 to 774 of the family's 1533-position model. The record is from RNAcentral.